CCUACGGGAGUCAGCAGUGAGGAAUAUUGGUCAAUGGGCGCGAGCCUGAACCAGCCAAGUAGCGUGAAGGAUGACUGCCCUACGGGUUGUAAACUUCUUUUAUAAAGGACUAAAGUGAGGCACGUGUGCCUUUUUGUAUGUACUUUAUGAAUAAGGAUCGGCUAACUCCGUGCCAGCAGCCGCCGUAAUACUGAGGAUCCGAGCGUUAUUCGGAUUUAUUGGGUUUAAAGGGAGCGUAGAUGGGUUGUUAAGUCCGUUGUGAAAGUUUGCGGCUCAACCGUAAAAUUGCAAUUGAUACUGGCAGCCUUGAGUACAGUUGAGGUAGGCGGAAUUCGUGGUGUAGCGGUGAAAUGCUUAGAUAUCACGAAGAACUCCGAUUGCGAAGGCAGCUUACUAAACUGCCACUGACAUUGAUGCUCGAAAGUGUGGGUAUCAAACAGGAUUAGAUACCCGGGUAGUC
Molecule: ribosomal RNA, 460 nt
Filed under: uncultured bacterium
Lineage: Bacteria
Description: partial 16S ribosomal RNA
Rfam family: Bacterial small subunit ribosomal RNA
Source: RNAcentral